RNAcentral lists this ribosomal RNA (872 nucleotides) under Escherichia coli. RNAcentral describes it as "bacterial SSU rRNA". It matches the Rfam family "Bacterial small subunit ribosomal RNA", at positions 29 to 863 of the family's 1533-position model. The record is from RNAcentral. Lineage: Bacteria; Pseudomonadati; Pseudomonadota; Gammaproteobacteria; Enterobacterales; Enterobacteriaceae.
UUGAACGCUGGCGGCAGGCCUAACACAUGCAAGUCGAACGGUAACAGGAAGAAGCUUGCUUCUUUGCUGACGAGUGGCGGACGGGUGAGUAAUGUCUGGGAAACUGCCUGAUGGAGGGGGAUAACUACUGGAAACGGUAGCUAAUACCGCAUAACGUCGCAAGACCAAAAAGGGGGACCUUCGGGCCUCUUGCCAUCGGAUGUGCCCAGAUGGGAUUAGCUAGUAGGUGGGGUAACGGCUCACCUAGGCGACGAUCCCUAGCUGGUCUGAGAGGAUGACCAGCCACACUGGAACUGAGACACGGUCCAGACUCCUACGGGAGGCAGCAGUGGGGAAUAUUGCACAAUGGGCGCAAUGCCUAGUAUGCAACGGCUCAUGCCGCGCUGUAUAGAAGAAAGCCUUCGGGUUGUAAAGUAACUUUCAGGCGGGGAGGAAGGGAGUAAAGUUAAUACCCUUGCUCAUUGAACGUUACCCGCAGAAGAAGCACCCGCUAACUCCGUGCCAGGCAGCCGCCGUAAUACGGAGGGGUGCCAAGCGGUUAAUCCGGAAUUACUGGGCGUAAAGCGCACGCAGGGCGGUUUGUUAAGUCAAGAUGUGAAAUUCCCCGGGCUCCAACCUUGGGAAACUGCAUCUGAUACUGGCAAGCUUGAGUCUCGUAGAGGGGGGUAGAAUUUCCAGGUGUAGCGGUGAAAUGCCGUAGAGAUCUGGAGGAAUACCCGGUGGCGAAGGCGGCCCCCCUGGACGAAGACUGACGCUCAGGUGCGAAAGCGUGGGGAGCAAACAGGAUUAGAUACCCUGGUAGUCCACGCCGUAAACGAUGUCGACUUGGAGGUUGUGCCCUUGAGGCGUGGCUUCCGGAGCUAACGCGUUAA